UGCCAGCCGCCGCGGUAAUACGGAGGGCGCAAGCGUUGUUCGGAAUCAUUGGGCGUAAAGCGCGUGUAGGCGGCUUGGUUAGUCGGGUGUGAAAUCCCGGGGCCCAACCCCGGAACUGCACUCGAUACUGCCUCGCUAGAGUCCCGGAGAGGAAGGCGGAAUUCCCGGUGUAGAGGUGAAAUUCGUAGAUAUCGGGAGGAACACCAGCGGCGAAGGCGGCCUUCUGGACGGUGACUGACGCUGAGACGCGAAAGCGUGGGGAGCAAACAGGAUUAGAUA
This 279-nucleotide ribosomal RNA is filed under the name uncultured bacterium. Its description in RNAcentral is "partial 16S ribosomal RNA". It matches the Rfam family "Bacterial small subunit ribosomal RNA", at positions 506 to 784 of the family's 1533-position model. The record is from RNAcentral.